ACUUGAAUUGAAGAGUUUGAUCAUGGCUCAGAUUGAACGCUGGCGGCAGGCUUAACACAUGCAAGUCGAACGGUAGCAGGAGGAAGCUUGCUUUCUUGCUGACGAGUGGCGGACGGGUGAGUAAUGCUUGGGAAUCUGGCUUAUGGAGGGGGAUAACGACGGGAAACUGUCGCUAAUACCGCGU
This 184-nucleotide ribosomal RNA is filed under the name Haemophilus influenzae. RNAcentral describes it as "partial 16S ribosomal RNA". It matches the Rfam family "Bacterial small subunit ribosomal RNA", at positions 1 to 174 of the family's 1533-position model. The record is from RNAcentral. Lineage: Bacteria; Pseudomonadati; Pseudomonadota; Gammaproteobacteria; Pasteurellales; Pasteurellaceae.